Long non-coding RNA from Globicephala melas (long-finned pilot whale), 2468 nucleotides. RefSeq lists it as uncharacterized. Lineage: Eukaryota; Metazoa; Chordata; Mammalia; Artiodactyla; Delphinidae. The record is from RefSeq and is a predicted model, not a curated record.
GGCGGGGAAGGGGCGCCCGCGUCGGCUUCCGGCCGCUUUCCGCGGCAGCUGCCCGGACCCCGCUCCGGCCGCCGGCGCCCAGGUGUGGGAGGGGGCGCGAGGCGGGCGACGGCGGGGGAGGGGCUCACCUUUCUGGCCGCUGAGCGCCGCGUACCAGGAGAGCGAGAGGAAGGCGCACAGGCAGAAGAGCAGCAGCGUCAGGAAGGCGCCAUUGCGGAGCCUCAUCUCCUCAGAUCUGGACUUCAAUCACAUUAACUUGAGGCCCCUCAGGUCCCUUCGCCAGGUCUGAGAAGUCUAGGCAAAUAAAGGUGAGACAAGCUGGGACCUGGGACCUGGAACCCUUUGCUGCAAUGCUUGCUCCUGGACAAACAUCUCCAGCAACAAAAUACGAAGAAACUACAAGGGACUAAAAAGUACUGUGUGCAUGGGCAGUUGGGGCAAAUUAUGAACAGCAAGAUAGAAAAAGACCAAAAACCUGACUGCCACUUCUGAAGAGCCGGGAGCAAAAACAGGGUACCGCACAUGCCCCCUGUGCACCAUCAAAGGGGUGGGCAGACCACCUAAGCCACCCCUCCUGCCCAACCCCCAGACACACCCCUAACCUCACCCCAUGUAAGGGACCAGCGAGCCCCACCCGGGAGCGAGCAAGGGAACCUGUUACUUGUUUUCACUGCCCCCCUGCUGCAGCAGGGCCCCCAGUAAAGCCUUGCCCAAAUUUCUUGUCUGGCCUCUUAUCAAUUUCCAUUGAUUAAGGAAGGCCAAGAACCCUGACCAGUAACAGAUUUCUGGCACCCAACAUGGGACCUCUCCCUCUUCACGGGAGAGGAUCUGGUCACCUCUGGGACCACUGAAAGCAGCUUCCCCGUGGGUGACAAGAGAUCGCCUGAACCUCACCUCGUCACCACAUUUGAGAGUGGACAUUGGGCAGCUACAGUAUCACUCCUCUCAGCACGUGAGACCAUGCUCCCUCUGGCCGUCAAUGGGUGACAAGCAGAGGUGGGAGAGGCUCGCCUCACACCAUGCAGACCUUGGUCCAGUGGGCUCUCCCUGAUGGGAGAUUUAUGACAGUGAUAGAAUUCAAACCUCAUAUCAUGUAGUGGCUGGAAGUUCUAUUGUCCCAGUAUUCUCACCUUUAUUUUCCUGCUGUCUCUUUUUUUUUAGUCUUUCUCUCCUCCCUUCACCUCUCCCUUGAUCCUUACACCUGCACUCCCAUCCCCUUUAUCCUGAAAAGUUCUUGUUUGUGUCAAGUUUUUGUCGGUGGUACAUGUCGAGUAAAAGGAUCUUUGUCUUAUGUAGUUUUGUCUGUCCAACCGCUCCUGCAAGUCUCUGCUGAAAUUGUGGGCCCUGUGGAGCACUUAAGCCUUGAAAUACAAACACAGCUCACAUUGCCUGAGACUCCAGCCUUGGGUUACUUAGUGGGAUUUUAAAAAGAAUAAAAAAGAGAGGAGCUUGCAUUUCUCUCCUCUGCCUUUGCAAUGUAACUGUUCUGCCUGGGCUCUAGGAACUAUCUGAUCCAUCUGUAGUCCCCCAGACUGAGGAAAAAAAAGAGACCUUUUUAAAUUCAAGUGGGAAAACUAUGAGAUCUCUGGUUCUGUUUCUCUUUAUGUAAACAUUAACUUGUAAAUGAGCUGUAUUUAAUUGGCUUAAAGGAAACUGAGCAUGUAUAUACAUUCUCAGAAAUAUAAAACUCGCCAGAAUACAUUCCACCUUCAUGUGAUCUGGGAAAUAUUCAAUAUUAAAUUAAUAUCUGGUAUUAGAGCUAGUUUAAGGUUGUGGGCUUAAUACAGACCUGUCUUUAGAGUCAUCAACAUUAAGAAUAAUAUAAUAUUUUCAUUGUUCCUAGGGUUACUGGAAGUCAAUAAAUGCAUAUUGUUUCUGUUAUAUAAUCUGUCAACAGGGAAAAUAACCUGAUGUGAUUACAUUUUUAAGUAAAUGUUACUGAGGUAAGAGCUUUUUGGUAAACUCUAUAGGAAUAAUUAUGUUUUGGAAAUAUCCAUCUAAAAUAGUCUCUCCACAUUUUGGUAACUUGAAGCAAUAUUAAGUUAAAUGAUAGGAAUUCAUUGAGUAUCUAGGCCAUUUCAAAUAAGAUGAAAUAUUGGCACAUUAAUUGCUAAACAGAUCUAAAUUUACGACUUUACAACUUUUGUCUUUUUAUGAGGGGGAAACUAAAGAUGUUUGGCUUUAUGAAACACAUGUCUUGUACCACAUACCCCACUGAGCAAAGAAAUAGUGCUUUGGGAAGUUGCAUGUUUCUAGAGGUUAUGGAAUAUUCCAAUCAGGGAAUGCUAAUGUAAAGACAGUUCAUGGUUGCUUGAGGAAAGUAGGAUGUGCGUUUUCAGUAAAAGAAGGUAUGAGGAGUGGAAAUAUAUUUUGUUAAAAGAGGGCUUCCCUGGUGGCGCAGUGGUUGAGAGUCCGCCUGCCGAUGCAGGGGACACGGGUUCGUGCCCCGGUCCGGGAGGAUCCCACAU